AGCGAACGCUGGCGGCAGGCCUAACACAUGCAAGUCGAACGAACCUUUCGGGGUUAGUGGCGGACGGGUGAGUAACACGUGGGAACGUGCCUUUAGGUUCGGAAUAACUCAGGGAAACUUGUGCUAAUACCGAAUGUGCCCUUCGGGGGAAAGAUUAAUCGCCUUUAGAGCGGCCCGCGUCUGAUUAGCUAGUUGGUUGAGGUAAUGGCUCACCAAGGCGACGAUCAGUAGCUGGUCUGAGAGGAUGAUCAGCCACAUUGGGACUGAGACACGGCCCAAACUCCUACGGGAGGCAGCAGUGGGGAAUCUUGCGCAAUGGGCGAAAGCCUCACGCAGCCAUGCCGCGUGAAUGAUGAAGGUCUUAGGAUUGUAAAAUUCUUUCACCGGGGACGAUAAUGACGGUACCCGGAGAAGAAGCCCCGGCUAACUUCGUG
RNAcentral lists this ribosomal RNA (434 nucleotides) under uncultured bacterium. RNAcentral's name for it is "partial 16S ribosomal RNA". It matches the Rfam family "Bacterial small subunit ribosomal RNA", at positions 29 to 507 of the family's 1533-position model. The record is from RNAcentral.